RNAcentral lists this ribosomal RNA (468 nucleotides) under uncultured bacterium. RNAcentral's name for it is "partial 16S ribosomal RNA". It matches the Rfam family "Bacterial small subunit ribosomal RNA", at positions 28 to 507 of the family's 1533-position model. The record is from RNAcentral.
GACGAACGCUGGCGGCGGGCUUAACACAUGCAAGUCGAACGGAAAGGCCCUGCUUUUGUGGGGUGCUCGAGUGGCGAACGGGUGAGUAACACGUGAGUAACCUGCCCUUGACUUUGGGAUAACUUCAGGAAACUGGGGCUAAUACCGGAUAGGAGCUCCUGCUGCAUGGUGGGGGUUGGAAAGUUUCGGCGGUUGUGGAUGGACGGGCGGCUUAUCAGCUUGUUGGUGGGGUAGUGGCUUACCAAGGCUUUGACGGGUAGCCGGCCUGAGAGGGUGACCGGCCACAUGGGGACUGAGAGACGGACCAGACUCCUACGGGAGGCAGAAGUGGGGAAUAUUGCACAAUGGGCGGAAGCCUGAUGCAGCAACGCCGCGUGCGGGAUGACGGCCUUCGGGUUGUAAACCGCUGUCGCCUGUGACGAAGCGUGAGUGACGGUAAUGGGUAAAGAAGCACCGGCUAACUACGUG